This 252-nucleotide ribosomal RNA is filed under the name uncultured bacterium. RNAcentral's name for it is "partial 16S ribosomal RNA". It matches the Rfam family "Archaeal small subunit ribosomal RNA", at positions 474 to 727 of the family's 1478-position model. The record is from RNAcentral.
UACCAGCACCCGAGUGGUCGGGACGUUUAUUGGGCCUAAAGCAUCCGUAGCCGGUUCUACAAGUCUUCCGUUAAAUCCAACUGCUUAACAGGUGGGCUGCGGAAGAUACUAUAGAGCUAGGAGGCGGGAGAGGCAAGCGGUACUCGAUGGGUAGGGGUAAAAUCCGUUGAUCCAUUGAAGACCACCAGUGGCGAAGGCGGCUUGCCAGAACGCGCUCGACGGUGAGGGAUGAAAGCUGGGGGAGCAAACCGG